AGUGAACGCUGGCGGUAGGCCUAACACAUGCAAGUCGAACGGCAGCACAGGAGAGCUUGCUCUCUGGGUGGCGAGUGGCGGACGGGUGAGGAAUACAUCGGAAUCUACUCUGUCGUGGGGGAUAACGUAGGGAAACUUACGCUAAUACCGCAUACGACCUACGGGUGAAAGCAGGGGACCUUCGGGCCUUGCGCGAUUGAAUGAGCCGAUGUCGGACUAGCUAGUUGGCGGGGUAAAGGCCCACCAAGGCGACGAUCCGUAGCUGGUCUGAGAGGGUGAUCAGCCACACUGGAACUGAGACACGGUCCAGACUCCUACGGGAGGCAGCAGUGGGGAAUAUUGGACAAUGGGCGCAAGCCUGAUUCAGCCAUACCGCGUGGGUGAAGAAGGCCUUCGGGUUGUAAAGCCCUUUUGUUGGGAAAGAAAUCCAGCUGGCUAAUACCCGGUUGGGAUGACGGUACCCAAAGAAUAAGCACCGGCUAACUUCGUGCCAGCCGCCGCCGUAA
This 506-nucleotide ribosomal RNA is filed under the name uncultured bacterium. Its description in RNAcentral is "partial 16S ribosomal RNA". It matches the Rfam family "Bacterial small subunit ribosomal RNA", at positions 29 to 523 of the family's 1533-position model. The record is from RNAcentral.